CGGGUGAGUAAUACAUCGGAACGUGUCUUCUAGUGGGGGAUAACUGCCCGAAAGGGCAGCUAAUACCGCAUGAGACCUGAGGGUGAAAGCGGGGGAUCGCAAGACCUCGCGCUGGAAGAGCGGCCGAUGUCCGAUUAGCUAGUUGGUGAGAUAAAGGCUCACCAAGGCGACGAUCGGUAGCUGGUCUGAGAGGACGACCAGCCACACUGGGACUGAGACACGGCCCGG
This 228-nucleotide ribosomal RNA is filed under the name uncultured bacterium. RNAcentral describes it as "partial 16S ribosomal RNA". It matches the Rfam family "Bacterial small subunit ribosomal RNA", at positions 103 to 334 of the family's 1533-position model. The record is from RNAcentral.